This 342-nucleotide ribosomal RNA is filed under the name uncultured bacterium. RNAcentral's name for it is "bacterial SSU rRNA". It matches the Rfam family "Bacterial small subunit ribosomal RNA", at positions 918 to 1269 of the family's 1533-position model. The record is from RNAcentral.
GGCCCGCACAAGCGGUGGAGCAUGUGGUUUAAUUCGACGCAACGCGAAGAACCUUACCUGGGUUUGACAUGCAUGGGACUGCCUUGGAAACAAGGUUUCUCCUCGGAGCUCAUGUGCAGGUGCUGCAUGGCUGUCGUCAGCUCGUGUCGUGAGAUGUUGGUUAAGUCCCGCAACGAGCGCAACCCCUAUUUUUAGUUGCCUUUUAUGGAACUCUAAAAAGACUGCCGGUUAUAAACCGGAGGAAGGUGGGGAUGACGUCAAGUCAGCAUGCCCCUUACACCCUGGGCUACACACGUGCUACAUUGGGCGAGACAAUGAGAUGCAAAUCUGUGAAGACUAGCU